This is a ribosomal RNA of Bacteroides fragilis NCTC 9343, 111 nucleotides long. The record is from Rfam. Lineage: Bacteria; Pseudomonadati; Bacteroidota; Bacteroidia; Bacteroidales; Bacteroidaceae.
UCAGGUGACUAUAGCAUCAGGGUUCCACCUCUUCCCAUUCCGAACAGAGAAGUUAAGCCUGAUCACGCCGAUGGUACUGCGUAACAGUGGGAGAGUAGGUAGUCGCCAUUU